GACGAACGCUGGCGGCGUGCCUAAUACAUGCAAGUAGAACGCUGAAGGAGGAGCUUGCUUCUCUGGAUGAGUUGCGAACGGGUGAGUAACGCGUAGGUAACCUGCCUGGUAGCGGGGGAUAACUAUUGGAAACGAUAGCUAAUACCGCAUAAUAGUAGAUGUUGCAUGACAUUUGCUUAAAAGGUGCAAUUGCAUCACUACCAGAUGGACCUGCGUUGUAUUAGCUAGUUGGUGGGGUAACGGCUCACCAAGGCGACGAUACAUAGCCGACCUGAGAGGGUGAUCGGCCACACUGGGACUGAGACACAGCCCAGACUCCUACGGGAGGCAGCAGUAGGGAAUCUUCGGCAAUGGACGGAAGUCUGACCGAGCAACGCCGCGUGAGUGAAGAAGGUUUUCGGAUCGUAAAGCUCUGUUGUAAGAGAAGAACGAGUGUGAGAGUGGAAAGUUCACACUGUGACGGUAUCUUACCAGAAAGGGACGGCUAACUACGUG
This 495-nucleotide ribosomal RNA is filed under the name uncultured bacterium. RNAcentral describes it as "partial 16S ribosomal RNA". It matches the Rfam family "Bacterial small subunit ribosomal RNA", at positions 28 to 507 of the family's 1533-position model. The record is from RNAcentral.